GACGAACGCUGGCGGCGGGCUUAACACAUGCAAGUCGAACGGAAAGGCCCUGCUGUUGUGGGGUGCUCGAGUGGCGAACGGGUGAGUAACACGUGAGUAACCUGCCCUUUACUUUGGGAUAACUUCAGUAAACUGGGGCUAAUACCGGAUAGGAGCUCCUUCUGCAUGGUGGGGGUUGGAAAGUUUCGGCGGUUGGGGAUGGACUCGCGGCUUAUCAGCUUGUUGGUGGGGUAGUGGCUUACCAAGGCUUUGACGGGUAGCCGGCCUGAGAGGGUGACCGGCCACAUUGGGACUGAGAUACGGCCCAGACUCCUACGGGAGGCAGCAGUGGGGAAUAUUGCACAAUGGGCGGAAGCCUGAUGCAGCAACGCCGCGUGCGGGAUGACGGCCUUCGGGUUGUAAACCGCUUUCGCCUGUGACGAAGCGUGAGUGACGGUAAUGGGUAAAGAAGCACCGGCUAACUACGUG
This 468-nucleotide ribosomal RNA is filed under the name uncultured bacterium. Its description in RNAcentral is "partial 16S ribosomal RNA". It matches the Rfam family "Bacterial small subunit ribosomal RNA", at positions 28 to 507 of the family's 1533-position model. The record is from RNAcentral.